CGACCGGCGCACGGGUGAGUAACGCGUAUGCAACCUGCCCGAUACCGGGGUAUAGCCCAUGGAAACGUGGAUUAACACCCCAUAGCACUUUUAUCCUGCCUGGGAUGGGAGUUAAAUGUUCAAGAUAUCGGAUGGGCAUGCGUCCUAUUAGUUAGUUGGCGGGGUAACAGCCCACCAAGACGAUGAUAGGUAGGGGUUCUGAGAGGAAGGUCCCCCACAUUGGAACUGAGACACGGUCCAA
This 241-nucleotide ribosomal RNA is filed under the name uncultured bacterium. RNAcentral describes it as "partial 16S ribosomal RNA". It matches the Rfam family "Bacterial small subunit ribosomal RNA", at positions 92 to 334 of the family's 1533-position model. The record is from RNAcentral.